RNAcentral lists this ribosomal RNA (700 nucleotides) under Paenibacillus sp. T-4(2010). Its description in RNAcentral is "bacterial SSU rRNA". It matches the Rfam family "Bacterial small subunit ribosomal RNA", at positions 64 to 744 of the family's 1533-position model. Lineage: Bacteria; Bacillati; Bacillota; Bacilli; Caryophanales; Paenibacillaceae. The record is from RNAcentral.
GAGUUAUUUUGAAAGCUUGCUUUCAAAAUAACUUAGCGGCGGACGGGUGAGUAACACGUAGGCAACCUGCCCCUUAGACUGGGAUAACUACCGGAAACGGUAGCUAAUACCGGAUAAUUUCUUUUUUCUCCUGAAGGAAGAAUGAAAGACGGAGCAAUCUGUCACUGAGGGAUGGGCCUGCGGCGCAUUAGCUAGUUGGUGGGGUAACGGCCCACCAAGGCGACGAUGCGUAGCCGACCUGAGAGGGUGAACGGCCACACUGGGACUGAGACACGGCCCAGACUCCUACGGGAGGCAGCAGUAGGGAAUCUUCCGCAAUGGACGAAAGUCUGACGGAGCAACGCCGCGUGAGUGAUGAAGGUUUUCGGAUCGUAAAGCUCUGUUGCCAGGGAAGAACGUCCGGUAGAGUAACUGCUACCGGAGUGACGGUACCUGAGAAGAAAGCCCCGGCUAACUACGUGCCAGCAGCCGCGGUAAUACGUAGGGGGCAAGCGUUGUCCGGAAUUAUUGGGCGUAAAGCGCGCGCAGGCGGUCAUUUAAGUCUGGUGUUUAAAACCUUGGGCUCAACCUAAGGUCGCACUGGAAACUGGGUGACUUGAGUACAGAAGAGGAAAGUGGAAUUCCACGUGUAGCGGUGAAAAUGCGUAGAUAUGUGGAGGAACACAGUGGCGAAAGCGACUUUUCUGGGGCUGUAACUGAC